RNAcentral lists this long non-coding RNA (848 nucleotides) under Nicotiana tabacum (common tobacco). RNAcentral describes it as "long non-coding RNA (NTAB_LNC008479)". The record is from RNAcentral. Lineage: Eukaryota; Viridiplantae; Streptophyta; Magnoliopsida; Solanales; Solanaceae.
GCCUUCGCCAAAAAGGAGAGUUCUACCUUGAUCGAAGGACGCCGGGUUAAUAUUUCAAAAAAUUCGAAAUAACACCCUUUAAGGCCAAGGGCCUUCGCCAAAAAUAAGAGUUCGACCUUGAUCGAAUGACGACUGGUUAAUAUUUCAAAAAGUUCGAAAUAACACCCUUUAAGGCCAAUGGCUUUCGCCAAAAAGAAGAGUUUGACCUGGAAUGAAUGACGACGGGUUAAUAUUUCGACAAUUUUGAAUUAACAUCCUUUAAGGCCAAGGGCCUUCAGCAAAAAGAAGAGUUCGACCUUGAUUGAACGACGACAGGCUAAUAUUUCGACAAGUUCGAAAUAACACCCUUUAAGCUAAUGGCUUUCGCCAAAAAUAACAGUUUGACCAUGAUCGAAUAACGACGAGUUAAUAUUACGACAAGUUCGAAAUAAAACCCUUUAAGGCCAAGGGCCUUCGCCAAAAAGAAGAGUUCGACCUUGAUCGAACGAUGACAGGUUAAUAUUUUGAAAAGUUCAAAAUAACACCCUUUAAGGCCAAGGGCCUUCGCUAAAAAGAAGAGUUCGACCUUGAUCGAACGACGAUGGGUCAGUAUUUCGACAUGUUUGAAAUAACACCCUUUAAGGCCAAGGGCCUUAACCAAAAAGAAGAGUUAGACCUUGAUCGAACGAUGACAGGUUAAUAUUUCGACAAGUUCAAAAUAACACCCUUUAAGGCUAAGGGCCUUCGGCAAAAAGAAGAGUUAGACCUUGAUCGAACGAUGACGGGUUAAUAUUUCGACAAGUUCGAAAUAACACCCUUCAAGACCAAGGGCCUUUGCCAAAAAGAAGAGUUCGACCUUGAUCGAAUGA